AGCCCAGGGCGGCUGCGCAGAGGGUUGGCCUCAGCGGCGGAGCUGGCUUCAGGUCUCAGCUUUGUCGCCGUCCAGGUCCUGUGACCUGCUCGCUCUCCU
This 99-nucleotide microRNA precursor is filed under the name Chlorocebus sabaeus (green monkey). RNAcentral describes it as "miRNA (ENSCSAG00000024775.1)". The record is from RNAcentral. Lineage: Eukaryota; Metazoa; Chordata; Mammalia; Primates; Cercopithecidae.